AGAUUGAACGCUGGCGGCAUGCCUUACACAUGCAAGUCGAACGGCAGCACGGGAGCAAUCCUGGUGGCGAGUGGCGAACGGGUGAGUAAUACAUCGGAACGUGCCCAAUCGUGGGGGAUAACGCAGCGAAAGCUGUGCUAAUACCGCAUAAGAUCUACGGAUGAAAGCAGGGGAUCGCAAGACCUUGCGCGAAUGGAGCGGCCGAUGGCAGAUUAGGUAGUUGGUGAGGUAAAGGCUCACCAAGCCUUCGAUCUGUAGCUGGUCUGAGGGGACGACCAGCCACACUGGGACUGAGACACGGCCCAGACUCCUACGGGAGGCAGCGAGGUGGGGAAUUUUGGGACAAGUGGGACGAAAGCCGUGAUCCAGCCAGUGCCGCGUGCAGGAUGAAGGCCUUCGGUUGUAAACUGUCGUUUAGUACGAAGUAAAGU
RNAcentral lists this ribosomal RNA (431 nucleotides) under uncultured soil bacterium. Its description in RNAcentral is "bacterial SSU rRNA". It matches the Rfam family "Bacterial small subunit ribosomal RNA", at positions 26 to 453 of the family's 1533-position model. The record is from RNAcentral.